AAGUCGUAACAAGGUUUCCGUAGGUGAACCUGCGGAAGGAUCAUUACCAUAUCCAAAAAACUUUACCAACCCACCGUGUGAACUGUUGUGUUUUCCUACACUUGGGGGUGACGUUUGGUUGGCGGACUAGUUUAUCAUGACUGGUCGUGCUACUGAAGGAAGCCCCACCUGUAAGAAACUUUUCCAUUAACCCCUGGUCAAACCAAUUAUUCGUCUGAUCUUUUUUCUUUUGCGCUGUCUUCCUUUGUGGGAGCGGCGUAAAAGAAAAAAACAAAACACAAACCAAUAGACAACUUAUGACGGUGGAUCUCUUGGCUCGU
Molecule: unclassified non-coding RNA, 320 nt
Filed under: fungal sp.
Lineage: Eukaryota; Fungi
Description: partial internal transcribed spacer region
Rfam family: Eukaryotic small subunit ribosomal RNA (bases 1-46)
Source: RNAcentral